GUGCCCUACUUGAAAUGGCUGCUGGUUGUUGAACUGGCCUUUGGUGGCUGGCACCCAUCUGCUAUUGUCCCUGGAAGAGUGCCUGUGACCUGGACCCAGUCCGCGGCGCACAGACCCCGGCUCUGGGCACCCCUGGUCAGGGCCUUCUGCACCACAGCUCCGCACAGCACCAGCCAGCUCGCUCCUGCAGCUUCAGUUCUUUUGUUGCAGUCCUGACGGGUCAGUCACCUGAGCAUCCAUGCUGCCAGGUGACAAACCCAGGCAUGCAGAGAUGUAAUCCUUUACCCAGGGUGACACGAUGUGGAGCUGAAUCCAAGUCUGGGAGUCUGGUGACCGUGUCUGGGCUCUAACCGCGCAACCGCCUCACAGUGAAACAAAUUGGGGACUGGCCUUUUCCUGAGUGGCCUUAGGAAGGUGCAGUGGCCUGCAGCCUCCUGUCCCAUCCCCGCCAUUGACAAGUACAUCGAUGUCCCACAGCUGUGCCACUAGAGGCUGUUUGACUGUGGUAGUUCACAUGUAUCUGCUUAGUCCUCUUUUGCCAGACUGUGUGCUUUGUGUGCCAGUUCUAAUUUAAGUAAAAAUCUGGACAUUCUUGGUUAUCCCACGUGGAGUAAGGACUGAGCAAACUCACAUCCAUCACCCUGGCCAGGGCCUGAGAGCAGCAGCCUCUCGGCCAGGGGCUCUGUUAGGAGGACUCUGGGCGUGGGGGAAGGGAGGGAGAAGCCCUGUUACUAAGAGUUAAGGACCAAACAGUCAGCAGGCCCAGGAACCCCAGCGGAGCUCCACCAUAAGUGAAUGUCUAGUUCGACUAUAUUUUCUUGUAGAAUCAUUAACUCCAAAAAAAUUGAACUGAAUCAUGUACGAUUCACAAACACACGACUUUACCAUCUCACCAGAAACACUCUUACCACAAGGACGCUAAGUCGGUUCUGUAAAAUGUGGGCUACAUGAUGUACCGCACAGCCUUGCAGGCUCCUGUUUUUCUUUCUUUUUCUCUUUCUUAGGAUUAGAAUGAGUACAUGUAAAGUGCUUAGUGUAGGAGGUGGCAGAGAGAGUAGAUACUCAAUAAAUAACAGCAAUCAUAAGUGUACAAAGUGGGCCAUGUGCCUGGCAUUGCCCCUCACCCCUGCCUCCCCUUCUAAGCAGCCUGUUGAGCACUUGGUAAUUCCUCACUUGAAAGAGAUUACAAAGAGGUUUGUUUGGUUUAUAUUUAAAUUUUUUUUUAUUGUGGUAAGAUGCACAUAACAUAAAAUUUGUACAUUCACAUUGUUGUACAACCUCAUCACCAUCUAUCUCCAGAACUUUUUCAUCAUCUCAGACAGAAACUCUGUCCUCAUUUAACACAGACUCCCCAUUCCCUCCUUCCCUCCCAUCCCUAUCUCCUGGUAACCACCAUUCUACUUUCUGUCUCUCUGAGUUUGAGUACUCUAGGUAUAGGCUAUAAAGAGGUUUGAUCAACACAAACCAUAAUAAACCUUAAACCUAUAGAAUUCAAUUAAAGGGUUGGUUUCUCCCAUGUCUUCACACAGCUAUCACCCUUCACAAAAGUUUCUAAAUCAAAGAAGGAAAGUAGGGACUCCUUGUCUUGGGUCUGCAAGACUUUCCCAGCCGUGAGAUUGCUCACUGGCCAACCUUGAGCCUCUUAGCUUCAGAUCUUCCACUGCUCCACUGUUUCCUCCCAGUUCUUGCUGCUCAUCCAGAUGCUGCAGAAUCAGCCACUUCCCAAACUUGGUGCCACUGGGAAAAGGUGCUCAGUUUUUCCCAGCCUUGCUACCAUUUUUUUUUUCUGUUAUUCCUCCCACAGGACAUAAGCCUGUACUCUCUGGGUAACAGAAUGUUCUUUUACAUUGUCUUCAGUUAAACCCUGGUCAACCAGUGCUUCCCUGAAAGUGACCAAUUAAUUCAUCCAAGGACCAACUAUCAGAAAUACACUUGCUAGAAAUCAUCAUUUGUGAUUCAAUUUCCAAGCAAAUCAGGAAUUGUGGAUCAAGAGUGUGUCCGAAGUGUGAUGUUGAAUUGUUACAGUCAGGUCAGACCUCUCAUCUGAUGCCUGCUGUAAUAUUAUUCCUAGUAUUUGCCUGAGA
Molecule: long non-coding RNA, 2084 nt
Filed under: Macaca mulatta (Rhesus monkey)
Lineage: Eukaryota; Metazoa; Chordata; Mammalia; Primates; Cercopithecidae
Description: lncRNA (ENSMMUG00000064634.1)
Source: RNAcentral